UUUAAUCUUUAAAAAUGAUUAUCUUUAUUGAGAGUUGGUGAUUGUUUACUUUUCUCGUUGUGUUAAUUGUUGACAAUCAAAAGGAUUUACACCAAUGAAGUAAUGAUUGUAAGAGAGAUAAAGUUCUUAACAUGAGGUCCACCAUGUUUGUAAUUGCAAUUGAUUCUGUUAUUGGAAAAGAUUGAUGAGAGUUCUACUCUCUAAUCCAAGGUUUCCAUUGAGAGAUAUUGAAUCUCUAAGCGGAUAAUGUGUCUUUUUGCCUCACAUAUGAUUUGAUGUAAUGAAGGAGUAAACAGAUAGACAGAAUUGGGAAAAAAUUGCCAAGAUAAACAACUAUUGUGAUUAUAACAUAUUUUGAUUGUAGUGAUUAUGUCAACAUGGUAAACAUCAAUUCUGUCACAUUAUAAGGAUAAAAUGAACUGAGAGAGAAAGACUAACAUUAGGAUGUCAAUUGCAAAAAAGAGACGUCAGCUUAUUGAGACGAAGAUUGAAUAGAAAAUAAAUUGUUAAUUCAUCAAACUGAAUUAGAAUCAAUUGUGGUGAAUAGACUAUUUCAAUUACUAUUGAUUAAUGAGGAAGAUAAGUGACUUUUUGUUUACUCCAUGGAUUCGAACCGAAAGAUAUUCAACGACCAAAGGCCUAAGGAAAUUGAAAGGUUAAUUUGUUUUCGUUUGGAUGUUAUCAUGUCCAGAAUCUGAGGAUUAAAACAAGAAACGGAAAUUAGUUUAAUCAUUUCUGUGAUAAUCUCAAGAUUCUAAUUAUCAUCAACAAUCAACAAGAUUUUAAUCAUUGUGUAUAAAAGAAAGAGAGACUUCAAGUGGAUGUAAAUUGCUAAUUGUUGUGAAUAGUAAUUAAACCA
Molecule: long non-coding RNA, 859 nt
Organism: Panonychus citri (citrus red mite)
Lineage: Eukaryota; Metazoa; Arthropoda; Arachnida; Trombidiformes; Tetranychidae
Exons: 3
Source: RefSeq, a predicted model, not a curated record